This 1159-nucleotide ribosomal RNA is filed under the name uncultured organism. RNAcentral's name for it is "bacterial SSU rRNA". It matches the Rfam family "Bacterial small subunit ribosomal RNA", at positions 38 to 1243 of the family's 1533-position model. The record is from RNAcentral.
GGCGGUCUGCUUAACACAUGCAAGUCGAACGCAACCUUCGGGUUGAGUGGCGGACGGGUGAGUCACGCGUGAGAAUCUGCCUUGGGGUCGGGGACAACCACUGGAGACGGUGGCUAAUACCGGAUAAGCCUUUGGGUAAAAAAUUUAUUGCCCCAAGAGGAGCUCGCGUCUGAUUAGCUAGUUGGUGAGGUAAAAGCUCACCAAGGCAGCGAUCAGUAGCUGGUCUGAGAGGACGAUCAGCCACACUGGGACUGAGACACGGCCCAGACUCCUACGGGAGGCAGCAGUGGGGAAUUUUCCGCAAUGGGCGAAAGCCUGACGGAGCAAGACCGCGUGAGGGAGGAAGGCUCUUGGGUUGUAAACCUCUUUUCUCAGGGAAGAAGCUCUGACGGUACCUGAGGAAUCAGCCUCGGCUAACUCCGUGCCAGCAGCCGCGGUAAUACGGAGGAGGCAAGCGUUAUCCGGAAUUAUUGGGCGUAAAGCGUCCGCAGGUGGCGAUUCAAGUCUGCUGUCAAAGCACGGGGCUUAACUCCGUUAAGGCAGUGGAAACUGAAUAGCUAGAGUGCCGUAGGGGUAGAGGGAAUUCCCGGUGUAGCGGUGAAAUGCGUAGAGAUCGGGAAGAACAUCGGUGGCGAAAGCGCUCUACUGGACGGCAACUGACACUCAGGGACGAAAGCUAGGGGAGCGAAUGGGAUUAGAUACCCCAGUAGUCCUAGCUGUAAACGAUGGAUACUAGGUGUAGCUUGUAUCGACCCGAGCUGUGCCGAAGCUAACGCGUUAAGUAUCCCGCCUGGGGAGUACGCACGCAAGUGUGAAACUCAAAGGAAUUGACGGGGGCCCGCACAAGCGGUGGAGUAUGUGGUUUAAUUCGAUGCAACGCGAAGAACCUUACCAGGGCUUGACAUGUCCGGAAUCCCGGUGAAAGCUGGGAGUGCCUUCGGGAGCCGGAACACAGGUGGUGCAUGGCUGUCGUCAGCUCGUGUCGAGAGAUGUUGGGUUAAGUCCCGCAACGAGCGCAACCCUCGUCCUUAGUUGCCAGCAUUAAGUUGNGCACUCUAGAGAGACUGCCGGUGACAAACCGGAGGAAGGUGGGGAUGACGUCAAGUCAGCAUGCCCCUUACGCUCUGGGCGACACACGUACUACAAUGGUCGGGACAGA